AAUUUUAAUAAAAUAAAAUAUUUUAUUGGGGUGAUAUUAAAAUUUAAAAAACUUUUAAUUUAUAAAAACAUUAAUUUAUGAAUUGUUGAUCCAUUAAUAAUGAUUAAAAAAUUAAGUUACUUUAGGGAUAACAGCGUAAUUUUUUUGGAGAGUUCAUAUCGAUAAAAAAGAUUGCGACCUCGAUGUUGGAUUAAGAUAUAAUUUUGGGUGUAGCCGUUCAAAUUUUAAGUCUGUUCGACUUUUAAAUUCUUACAUGAUCUGAGUUCAAACCGGUGUAAGCCAGGUUGGUUCUUAUCUUUAAAAAAUUAUAAUAUUUUAGCAC
Molecule: small RNA, 322 nt
Filed under: Drosophila ananassae
Lineage: Eukaryota; Metazoa; Arthropoda; Insecta; Diptera; Drosophilidae
Description: GF27906
Rfam family: Bacterial large subunit ribosomal RNA (bases 127-286)
Source: RNAcentral